GAUGAACGCUGGCGGCGUGCCUAAUACAUGCAAGUCGAACGAAACUUCUUUAUCCCCGAGUGCUUGCACUCACCGAUAGAGGGGUGAGUGACGAACGGAUAAGCAACACGUGGGCAACCUGCCCCUUAGAGAGGGAUAACACUAUACAACAGGUGCUAAUACCGCAUAACCAUCAUUACUGCAAGGCGACUUUGUAAACGGUGGCUGUUCUACCGCCUCUGCAUUGGCCCGCGGCGCAUUAGCUAGUUGGUAGGGUAAAGGCUUACCAAGGCAACGAUGCGUAGCCGAACUGAGAGGUUGAUCGGCCACACUGGGACUGAGACACGGUCCAGACUCCUACGGGAGGCAGCAGUAGGGAAUCUUCCACAAUGGGCGAAAGCCUGAUGGAGCAACGCCGCGUGAGUGAAGAAGGUCUUCGGAUCGUAAAACCCUGUUGUUAGGGAAGAAAGUGUGUGAGAGUAACUGUUCACGUCUCGACGGUAUCUAACCAGAAAGCCACGGCUAACUACGUG
Molecule: ribosomal RNA, 512 nt
Filed under: uncultured bacterium
Lineage: Bacteria
Description: partial 16S ribosomal RNA
Rfam family: Bacterial small subunit ribosomal RNA
Source: RNAcentral